GCCCGGAUGUUGGAAUUGGUAGACAAGCAUGGUUGAGGGCCAUGUGCUCUUAAGGGUGUGCAGGUUCAAAUCCUGUUCCGGGCAC
Molecule: transfer RNA, 85 nt
Filed under: Bacteroidetes bacterium ADurb.Bin217
Lineage: Bacteria; Pseudomonadati; Bacteroidota
Description: tRNA-Leu
Rfam family: tRNA
About the family: Transfer RNA (tRNA) molecules are approximately 80 nucleotides in length. Their secondary structure includes four short double-helical elements and three loops (D, anti-codon, and T loops).
Source: RNAcentral